CUCUUCUGACUGAGCCAGCCAGCCACCCCUGAACUAACAUUUUGUGGCUCCAAGGAAGGACAAGUCCUACACAUGAGGUUGCAGGGGAAUAAAUUCCCCCCAGCUACAUCCAAAUGGGAUUCUUGAGCCUCUGUCAGCUUGCUCCCUGGUAUUUCCAUCCAAUACCAAAAAGUGAUCCACAUAAGGAGCUCCAGCACCAGCAAAAGUCUAGAGCUCAGAUUUCUUAAAGAGGAAGAAAAGUCACACAGAGAAUCCUACAGAGGAUCCCCUCCCCCCAGCCCCGGCCUGUGCCUAAUUAAGUGAGUGGCUUAAGGGACUUGCCUCCUCUUCAAGAUUAAGAGGAUUCACCCUCAGGUAUCACAUGACACAUUUCCCCACCCAGUGCCUGGAGCUCCAGCCUCUUCCAUGCAGGGAGCACAAGAUCUGUAAAAGCUGCAGACUCCAUAACCUCGCAACACCCAAUCGAGUGGGACAGAAAAUCUCUUCCAGUAGCCUAUGCAAGUGCUGGGGUCCGCUGCCUCUCCCUGGUCUGAUUUAGGUCACAUGGCCGUUGCUGAAACAUCCAUUUGGGAACACGGAUUCACCGAUGGACUUAGUCAAUCGUGCUCACACCUAGAGUAGGCCCGAGAGAAUUCCAGACAAAUCACCCAAGUGAAAAUGAGGUGACUUCUCCCAAGGAACAGCAAGUAACUGUCGGCAGCAGAAAA
Long non-coding RNA from Hyaena hyaena (striped hyena), 707 nucleotides. RefSeq lists it as uncharacterized. The transcript has 4 exons. The record is from RefSeq and is a predicted model, not a curated record. Lineage: Eukaryota; Metazoa; Chordata; Mammalia; Carnivora; Hyaenidae.